ACGGGAGGCAGCAGUGGGGAAUAUUGCACAAUGGGGGAAACCCUGAUGCAGCCAUGCCGCGUGUGUGAAGAAGGCCUUCGGGUUGUAAAGCACUUUCAGCGAGGAGGAAAGGUUGGCGCCUAAUACGUGUCAACUGUGACGUUACUCGCAGAAGAAGCACCGGCUAACUCCGUGCCAGCAGCCGCGGUAAUACGGAGGGUGCAAGCGUUAAUCGGAAUUACUGGGCGUAAAGCGCACGCAGGCGGUUGGAUAAGUUAGAUGUGAAAGCCCCGGGCUCAACCUGGGAAUUGCAUUUAAAACUGUCCAGCUAGAGUCUUGUAGAGGGGGGUAGAAUUCCAGGUGUAGCGGUGAAAUGCG
RNAcentral lists this ribosomal RNA (357 nucleotides) under uncultured Aeromonas sp. Its description in RNAcentral is "bacterial SSU rRNA". It matches the Rfam family "Bacterial small subunit ribosomal RNA", at positions 341 to 690 of the family's 1533-position model. The record is from RNAcentral. Lineage: Bacteria; Pseudomonadati; Pseudomonadota; Gammaproteobacteria; Aeromonadales; Aeromonadaceae.